ACCUUUGCUAUUCUAUUCUAUUCCCAAUGAAUAUUUUUGAUAGCUGCGGCGUUUUUAUAAAAUGGUUUCUUCUAAUUUUGAAUUUACGUCACAAAUCAAAUCGGCCAUACUCGGUGUCACUCGACAUGAAAAUGGCGGCACUUGAUUCAAAAUUGCUUUUACCGGGUCUCACCUGUCUCACCACACUGUGGUCUCACACAGAUAAUUUAAAAAUACGUUAAUUAUAUGAUUUAAGUAACAAUUGAUACAAGAUUCCGUUUAAGAGUAUCAAAAAUAUAAAAAAACUGGCCCUGGGGCCUGGGAUAAUAAGAUUUUUGGACGAUUUUUAAAUUCAUCAGAAGACUUACUUCAAAUACCAGUGAUUUCAUAGUGAUUCGAAAAAGUAGACUUUAGUUAUUUGAUUUCAUAACUCUCUUUAAAGUCUUGUUUUUUUAGCGGUCGAGUACACUGCGCAUGCUUUUUAGCCGAACUAGUCUACUUGAUAGAAUAGCCGUUUAAAACUACACUUCCUAGUUCGCACUAUGCUAGUAUUUUAGUCGAGUAGCGAGUAGGCGGUAAUUUAGUAUAACUAAACUUCUUGUCUGAAAAACAAAUAUUUAUUCAAGUAGAUUAGUAAGUAGUUUAGUCGAGUCUAUAUCCAUUUAGUUAGUGCGAUGUCAUGCGUUUUGACCAUCUUACGGAACUGUCGUAACAAUACAUAUAUUUAUAAAUUAUAUUUUGUAGUAAAGUGUGUGUAAAUAAACGCUGUGUCUAGGUACACGCUAACGUGUACGCAAAUAAAAAAGUUAGGUACACGCGAAUUAAACUUCAUCAAGCCAGUGACGUCAUUAUUUAGCGUGCGCAGUGACUUUAUAUUUUGGUGCACGCUAUUUUGAUAUGUGUAGGCCCGGUACUUUAUGUCUCUGUCUAAAUUAGACAAUAUAUAUAAAUUAUAUAGCAUCAUAGCGGAGCAAAGGGCAUAUCAGUGUUUCAAUAGUAGUAAAUAGUAGAAGCAAAAGGUUUGAUGGUAGGAAUAGGGUUGCUGGCCUCACGCAUCUUUUAAGUUUUCAACGUAGGUUGAAGUUUUCAACAGGGAUGUAGGUUCCUUUUCGCAGGGAGGCAAUAUCUUCCUAAAAUAAGAUCUUGAAGAAGCUUCAUUUCUAUUCCGGUUAUCAUCAUUGAUGGAGAAUAGCAUGUUGCUUGUUGCUUCAUGUUCGGAAUUUCUGUAGGCUAUUGCCACUAGCGCGCUAGCGCCACCUGUCGGCUUGAAGUGAAACUACGUUUUGAAAAUGUAAAAUUUGAGGUAAAGAUUCAAAUUUAAUUUUAUAAAUAUUUGAAUAACGAGCUAAUUUUGCUAAAUUAAAUUAAAAUAAAAAUAGUUCAAACACUUAUACAAAAACAAUAAUAAAGCAAUUUUAUGAAUGUAAGGUUAGAUUGCUCUGGUUAUCACCGCACACCACUAGAUGGCGCUAUAUUGUUUGCUUCCUCAAAGGUAAUGGGAAAUUUCAAGAGUUGUAUGUAUUACAGUCAAUAGUAUUUGUUCACAGUCAUUGGGUGCGUUCGGACGACCACAGCGGCUGGACAGCUGGCUGAGCCAGCAGUAGCUGUCAGACGUCACCGCUGGAAGCCAGCCGCGGGAGCCGCGGAGAGAUUUUACUAAGCUUUCCCUAUCACGGCUGGAUACCUUAGCUGGAUACAACCACUCAGCCGAUUUCUGCUGACCGCCAGCCGCUAUGGUCGUCCGAACGCACCCAUUUGUUUCGAGCUUCUUUCAUAUGUUGUAUAAUCCGUGUAUAUUGUUAUUAUCCACGAAUUAUGCGACAUUUGACAGAAGCUGGAAACAAAACGAGAAUCUAAUUCGCACACUUUAACCAACGUUGCCAAGUCGCUAAAAUCUCGAACUUUGACACCAAUUUGACAAUUGACAGAUGAUCGACGGUAAAUUGUAAAUAUAAAUAAUCUUGAAAUAUAAAAUAAAACUUAUAUUUUAUAUUUAUAUUCUAAGAAAUAAAUCAAAUCCAAAUCAUAUAUCCUAACAACAAUAACUAAGUCGGGAACGGGACCAAUGGAUAAAAGCCAAAAAAAGGAAAACAGAUCUAAAAUUAAACCUCAAUCAACGCCAAAACAUAGUGUACCAAAGCCAGGCAAUAAAAAGAAAUGGUGAUCUAGAACGCAAGGAAAUAGCUGAUAAAAGAAAUAAAAGUGAAGAAAAUAAUGCUGAGACUUCUCUCGACCAUGAACAAACACCACUAACACCAGAUAUUUUAAAUGUAGGAACAGGAGAAACUGCUGGAACUUAACACAAAGGGGUUUGACUAGUGAAGAUUUGGAUAAACAAAAGGAAUUACUUUGGGCUAUAGCUACAUGCAGGUUUAUUUCCUUGUGGCUUCCUAUGUAUAUUCUUAUGAACUUAUACACUUUGAUAUGUUUUUAGUCUCAUGAAGAUUUUAUAAUUUAUUAUUUUAUUUAUAUUGUUAUAUUUAUGAUGAAUAAACAUUAUUAUUAUUACGGUAAUUUCCGUAAUAAAAUUUAAAUAAAUUAACUGUAAUCAAUAAACCGUUUUUAAUGUUAAUAAAUUAUCAAUAAUGA
This 2568-nucleotide long non-coding RNA is filed under the name Diabrotica virgifera virgifera (western corn rootworm). RNAcentral describes it as "uncharacterized LOC126893473". Lineage: Eukaryota; Metazoa; Arthropoda; Insecta; Coleoptera; Chrysomelidae. The record is from RNAcentral.